This 253-nucleotide ribosomal RNA is filed under the name uncultured bacterium. Its description in RNAcentral is "partial 16S ribosomal RNA". It matches the Rfam family "Bacterial small subunit ribosomal RNA", at positions 524 to 776 of the family's 1533-position model. The record is from RNAcentral.
UACGUAGGGUGCAAGCGUUAAUCGGAAUUACUGGGCGUAAAGCGUGCGCAGGCGGUUAUGCAAGACAGAUGUGAAAUCCCCGGGCUUAACCUGGGAACCGCAUUUGUGACUGCAUAGCUGGAGUACGGCAGAGGGGGAUGGAAUUCCGCGUGUAGCAGUGAAAUGCGUAGAUAUGCGGAGGAACACCGAUGGCGAAGGCAGUCCCCUGGGCCUGUACUGACGCUCAUGCACGAAAGCUAGGGGAGCAAACGGG